GAGCAGGGCGGAGCUCAGGGGCCCCGCCAGAGCCACACUGCAGCUGUCGAGGGAAGCUGCUGGAUGCGCUGAGGCUCCAGAGCUCACAUCACAUCUUCCCAGCUGAUCACGAUGGCUCCACGCAGCAAACAAUCUCCCACUUGGACCACUGCAGAGCUACUGGAUGUGAUAAGUGUUUGGGGAGAGGAAGCUGUGCAGUCACAGCUGUGCUUGAGACGCAGGAAUUUUGAUGCCUACAGCCAGAUUGCAUGCAGCUUGCGCAAAAAGGGAUAUGCCUGAGACAUGCUGCUGUGCAAAGCAAAGGUGAAGGAGCUGAGGAACACAUGCCACAAGGCAAGGGAGGCAAACCGUCGCUCUGGUGCUGCGCCCUAAACCUGCUGCUUUUAUAAGGAAUUGGAUGCUAUCCUAGGUAGUGACCCCCACCUCCACCGCAAAGAGCCCUGUGGAUACUUUGGCGGGUCUGGAGCCAGUGGAAAGUUGACCUAACCCAGAGGAGGAAGUCAUUGAUGAAGAGGUGGAGGCUGAAGAUGUGGAGACCUAUGAUGCGGCUAGUCAGGAGCUGUUCUCCACUCCAGAAGUGUCUAGCCAGUCUCUGUAAUCACCGUCUAGCGAGCCAGAAGCAGGACAGGAGACCCCAGACUUCACCUUGAGAACCAACCCUCCAACAGAAGCAGAGCAUCUGCACAAGAUAAGAAAAUGGCUGAGAUGGACCAAGGAAGAUAUGUUCUGGGUGAGGCUGCAGCAGUCAGAGGUAGAAAACACCCAACACAAGAGGUUGAGGGAAAGUGACAAGCAGGAAAGAGAAGAGAAGGAUUCUUACAACAGGGAUGCCACAGAGCGGCUGAUUAAAGUUCUGGAGUGUCAAACCGACAUGCUCCAGAUGCUCGUAACACUGAAGACUGAGCAGACUGAUGCAUGCCCGCCCUCCCCUUCAGCACAUUCAGAACUCUUUUCCCAGGAACUCCCCAAACUCCCCUCGCGCAUUUCUUUCCGCCUUCUGGCACUUCACCCUUUCCUCUACACUCCACCCCUACAGACAGCUGUUCCAAUGAAAGCUGGACCUAUACUCAGCUAUGAAAAUCAACCC
Molecule: long non-coding RNA, 1087 nt
Organism: Mauremys mutica (yellowpond turtle)
Lineage: Eukaryota; Metazoa; Chordata; Testudines; Geoemydidae
Exons: 3
Source: RefSeq, a predicted model, not a curated record